UGUAAGAAACGACGGCCCAGUGAAAUUGUAAAUACGACUCACUAUAGGGGCGAUUGAAUUUAGCGGCCGAGAAGUCGCCCUUUAGAGUUUGAUCAUGGCUCAGAACGUACGCUGGCGGCACGCCUAACACAUGCAAGUCGAACGAAGUAGCAAUACUUAGUGGCAGACGGGUGAGUAACAUGUAGGGUAUCUUUCCCUUUGGCCUGGAAUAACACGAGGAAACUUGUGCUAAUACCGGAUAAGUCUUUACGGAGAAAGCUUUAUGCACCAUUGGAUGAGCCUGCACUUGAUUAGUUUGUUGGUAGGGUAAUGGCCUACCAAGACUGUGAUCAAUAGCUGAUUUGAGAGGAUGAUCAGCCACAUUGGGACUGAGACACGGCCCAAACUCCUACGGGAGGCAGCAGUGGGGAAUCUUGCACAAUGGAGGAAACUCUGAUGCAGCGAUGCCGCGUGAGUGAAGAAGGCCUUUGGGUUGUAAAGCUCUUUCGUCGGGGAAGAAAAUGACUGUACCCGAAUAAGAAGGUCCGGCUAACUUCGUGCCAGCAGCCGCGGUAAUACGAAGGGACCUAGCGUAGUUCGGAAUUACUGGGCUUAAAGAGUCGUAGGUGGUUGAAAAAGUUUGGGGGG
RNAcentral lists this ribosomal RNA (627 nucleotides) under uncultured Alphaproteobacteria bacterium. Its description in RNAcentral is "bacterial SSU rRNA". The stretch from base 77 to 627 matches the Rfam family "Bacterial small subunit ribosomal RNA", at positions 1 to 596 of the family's 1533-position model. The record is from RNAcentral. Lineage: Bacteria; Pseudomonadati; Pseudomonadota; Alphaproteobacteria.